GACGAACGCUGGCGGCGUGCCUAAUACAUGCAAGUCGAACGCUGAAGGAGGAGCUUGCUCUUCUGGAUGAGUUGCGCACGGGUGAGUAACGCGUAGGUAACCUGCCUGGUAGCGGGGGAUAACUAUUGGAAACGAUAGCUAAUACCGCAUAACAGUAGAUGUUGCAUGACAUUUACUUAAAAGGUGCAAUUGCAUCACUACCAGAUGGACCUGCGUUGUAUUAGCUAGUUGGUGGGGGAACGGCUCACCAAGGGGACGAUACAUAGCCGACCUGGGGGGGGGAUCGGCCACACUGGGAAUUGGGCACGGCCCAAGCUCCUUCGGGAGGGAGCAGUAGGGAAACUUCGGCAAUGGACGGAAGGCUGACCGGGCAACGGCGCGUGAGUGAAGAAGGUUUUCGGAUCGUAAAGCUCUGUUGUAAGGGAAGGACGAGUGGGGGAGUGGAAAGUUCACACUGUGACGGUAUCUUACCAGAAAGGGACGGCUAACUACGUG
This 495-nucleotide ribosomal RNA is filed under the name uncultured bacterium. Its description in RNAcentral is "partial 16S ribosomal RNA". It matches the Rfam family "Bacterial small subunit ribosomal RNA", at positions 28 to 507 of the family's 1533-position model. The record is from RNAcentral.